ACUCAAAGGAAUUGACGGGGGCCCGCACAAGCAGCGGAGCGUGUGGUUUAAUUCGAUGCAACGCGAAGAACCUUACCUAGACUUGACAUGACCCGGAAAGGCCUGGAAACAGGUCCCUCUUCGGACCGGGCCACAGAUGUUGCAUGGCUGUCGUCAGCUCGUGUCGUGAGAUGUUGGGUUAAGUCCCGCAACGAGCGCAACCCUCGUGUGAUGUUGCAAAUCAUCGCAGACUGCCGGUACAAGCCGGAGGAAGGUGGGGAUGACGUCAAGUCCGCAUGGCUCUUACGUCUAGGGCUACACACACGCUACAAUGGUCGGGACAGAGCGCAGCCACGGGGCGACCCGGAGCGAAUCGCAAAACCCGAUCUCAGUUCGGAUGGUAGGCUGCAACUCGCCUGCCUGAAGUCGGAGUUGCUAGUAACCGCGUGUCAGCAUAGCGCGGUGAAUAUGUUCCCGGGCCUUGUACACACCGCCCGU
RNAcentral lists this ribosomal RNA (477 nucleotides) under uncultured bacterium. RNAcentral describes it as "partial 16S ribosomal RNA". It matches the Rfam family "Bacterial small subunit ribosomal RNA", at positions 899 to 1397 of the family's 1533-position model. The record is from RNAcentral.